This 486-nucleotide ribosomal RNA is filed under the name uncultured bacterium. RNAcentral's name for it is "partial 16S ribosomal RNA". It matches the Rfam family "Bacterial small subunit ribosomal RNA", at positions 30 to 507 of the family's 1533-position model. The record is from RNAcentral.
AUUGAACGCUGGCGGCAUGCCUUACACAUGCAAGUCGAACGGCAGCGCGGGUGCUUGCCCCUGGUGGCGAGUGGCGAACGGGUGAGUAAUACAUCGGAACAUGUCCUGUAGUGGGGGAUAGCCCGGCGAAAGCCGGAUUAAUACCGCAUACGAUCUACGGAUGAAAGCGGGGGACCUUCGGGCCUCGCGCUAUAGGGUUGGCCGAUAGCUGAUUAGCUAGUUGGUGGGGUAAAGGCCUACCAAGGCGACGAUCAGUAGCUGGUCUGAGAGGACGACCAGCCACACUGGGACUGAGACACGGCCCAGACUCCUACGGGAGGCAGCAGUGGGGAAUUUUGGACAAUGGGCGAAAGCCUGAUCCAGCAAUGCCGCGUGUGUGAAGAAGGCCUUCGGGUUGUAAAGCACUUUUGUCCGGAAAGAAAUCCUUGGCUCUAAUACAGUCGGGGGAUGACGGUACCGGAAGAAUAAGCACCGGCUAACUACGUG